UCAGGACGAACGCUGGCGGCGUGCUUAACACAUGCAAGUCGAACGAUGAACUUCCAGCUUGCUGGGGGGGAUUAGUGGCGAACGGGUGAGUAACACGUGAGUAACCUGCCCUGGACUCUGGGAUAACCCCGAGAAAUCGGAGCUAAUACCGGAUAGGACCUUCUCUCGCAUGGGGGUUGGUGGAAAGUUUUUUCGGUUUGGGAUGGACUCGCGGCCUAUCAGCUUGUUGGUGAGGUAAUGGCUCACCAAGGCGUCGACGGGUAGCCGGCCUGAGAGGGUGACCGGCCACACUGGGACUGAGACACGGCCCAGACUCCUACGGGAGGCAGCAGUGGGGAAUAUUGCACAAUGGGCGCAAGCCUGAUGCAGCAACGCCGCGUGCGGGAUGACGGCCUUCGGGUUGUAAACCGCUUUUAGUAGGGAAGAAGCCUUUCGGGGUGACGGUACCUGCAGAAAAAGGACCGGCUAACUACGUGCCAGCAGCCGCGGUAAUACGUAGGGUCCGAGCGUUGUCCGGAAUUAUUGGGCGUAAAGAGCUCGUAGGCGGUUUGUCGCGUCUGCUGUGAAAUCCCGGGGCUCAACUCCGGGCCUGCAGUGGGUACGGGCAGACUUGAGUGGUGUAGGGGAGACUGGAAUUCCUGGUGUAGCGGUGGAAUGCGCAGAUAUCAGGAGGAACACCGAUGGCGAAGGCAGGUCUCUGGGCACUUACUGAC
This 713-nucleotide ribosomal RNA is filed under the name Agromyces sp. P3856. Its description in RNAcentral is "bacterial SSU rRNA". It matches the Rfam family "Bacterial small subunit ribosomal RNA", at positions 24 to 744 of the family's 1533-position model. The record is from RNAcentral. Lineage: Bacteria; Bacillati; Actinomycetota; Actinomycetes; Micrococcales; Microbacteriaceae.